CCUACGGGGGGCUGCAGUGGGGAAUAUUGGACAAUGGGCGAAAGCCUGAUCCAGCCAUGCCGCGUGUGUGAAGAAGGCCUUCGGGUUGUAAAGCACUUUCAGUGGGGAAGAAAGCCUUGGGGCUAAUACCCUCGAGGAAGGACAUCACCCACAGAAGAAGCACCGGCUAACUCCGUGCCAGCAGCCGCGGUAAUACGGAGGGUGCGAGCGUUAAUCGGAAUUACUGGGCGUAAAGCGCGCGUAGGCGGUCUGAUAAGCCGGUUGUGAAAGCCCCGGGCUCAACCUGGGAACGGCAUCCGGAACUGUCAGGCUAGAGUGCAGGAGAGGAAGGUAGAAUUCCCGGUGUAGCGGUGAAAUGCGUAGAGAUCGGGAGGAAUACCAGUGGCGAAGGCGGCCUUCUGGACUGACACUGACGCUGAGGUGCGAAAGCGUGGGUAGCAAACAGGAUUAGAUACCCGGGUGUC
RNAcentral lists this ribosomal RNA (464 nucleotides) under Vreelandella stevensii. Its description in RNAcentral is "partial 16S ribosomal RNA". It matches the Rfam family "Bacterial small subunit ribosomal RNA", at positions 338 to 795 of the family's 1533-position model. The record is from RNAcentral. Lineage: Bacteria; Pseudomonadati; Pseudomonadota; Gammaproteobacteria; Oceanospirillales; Halomonadaceae.